CACCCAUUCUGCCAUUCACACACACACACACACUCUCUCUCUCUCUCUCUCUCUCUCUCUCUCUCUGGGCCUGUUUGGUUCGCUUCUUUUUUACCAUGGAAAUCGGAAUCGGAAUGGGUGAAUUCGUUUGUGCGUGUUUGGUAUGCGGGUGUCCCAAUCCGAUUCCGAUUCCCGAGUGGAGUGGGAAUCUCCCAAUCAUCUCAUUUUUCAAUCAGGGCUAGGAGGCCGGAUAGGAAGUUUAAUCUGGACGGAAUGGAUAUUUAUUCGAAUUAAAUUUAUUUUUUCAAAUUUUUUAAUUAAAAUAUGAGUUUAAAUUUAGAAAUUUAA
Molecule: long non-coding RNA, 327 nt
Filed under: Ananas comosus (pineapple)
Lineage: Eukaryota; Viridiplantae; Streptophyta; Magnoliopsida; Poales; Bromeliaceae
Description: long non-coding RNA (ACOM_LNC009771)
Source: RNAcentral